Molecule: ribosomal RNA, 429 nt
Filed under: Verrucomicrobiota bacterium
Lineage: Bacteria; Pseudomonadati; Verrucomicrobiota
Description: Verrucomicrobia bacterium partial 16S ribosomal RNA
Rfam family: Bacterial small subunit ribosomal RNA
Source: RNAcentral
UGGGGAAUCUUCCGCAAUGGACGAAAGUCUGACGGAGCAACGCCGCGUGAGUGAUGACGGUCUUCGGCUUGUAAAGCUCUGUUAAUCGGGACGAAUGGUUUGUGUGCAAAUAGUGCAUAGACAUGAUGGUACCGGAAUAGAAAGCCACGGCUAACUACGUGCCAGCAGCCGCGGUGAUACGUAGGUGGCAAGCGUUGUCCGGAAUUAUUGGGCGUAAAGCGCGCGCAGGCGGACUAGCCAGUCAGUCUUAAAAGUUCGGGGCUUAACCCCGUGAUGGGAUUGAAACUACUAGGCUAGAGUAUCGGAGAGGAAAGUGGAAUUCCUAGUGUAGCGGUGAAAAGCGUAGAUAUUAGGAAGAACACCAGUGGCGAAGGCGACUUUCUGGACGAACACUGACGCUGAGGCGCGAAAGCCAGGGGAGCGAACGGG